This 65-nucleotide transfer RNA is filed under the name Ornebius kanetataki. RNAcentral describes it as "tRNA-Phe". The record is from RNAcentral. Lineage: Eukaryota; Metazoa; Arthropoda; Insecta; Orthoptera; Mogoplistidae.
AUUUGAGUAGCUUAAAUAAAGUUUUUCAUUGAAGCUGAAAAGAUAAAUUUAUAAUUUCUCGAAUA